This 465-nucleotide ribosomal RNA is filed under the name uncultured bacterium. RNAcentral describes it as "partial 16S ribosomal RNA". It matches the Rfam family "Bacterial small subunit ribosomal RNA", at positions 28 to 507 of the family's 1533-position model. The record is from RNAcentral.
GACGAACGCUGGCGGCGUGCUUAACACAUGCAAGUCGUACGGUAAGGCCCUUUCGGGGGUACACGAGUGGCGAACGGGUGAGUAACACGUGAGUAACCUGCCCACAACUUUGGGAUAACGCUAGGAAACUGGUGCUAAUACUGGAUAUGUGCUCCUGCUGCAUGGCGGGGGUUGGAAAGCUCCGGCGGUUGUGGAUGGACUCGCGGCCUAUCAGCUUGUUGGUGGGGUAGUGGCCUACCAAGGCGGCGACGGGUAGCCGGCCUGAGAGGGUGACCGGCCACAUUGGGACUGAGAUACGGCCCAGACUCCGACGGGAGGCAGCAGUGGGGAAUAUUGCACAAUGGGCGCAAGCCUGAUGCAGCAACGCCGCGUGCGGGAUGACGGCCUUCGGGUUGUAAGCCGCUUUCAGCAGGGACGAAGCUUUUUGUGACGGUACCUGCAGAAGAAGCACCGGCUAACUACGUG